GGGAAGAGGGACUCAUGUUUGAGAAAGCUUCUGCAUCAGUUCAAGCCUCCAGGCUCCUGCCUUGAGUUCUUGUCAUUACUUGGAUGAUGGGCUAUACGCUGUAAAAUAAAAGAAACCCUUUUCUUCCCUAGUUGCUCUGUGAUCGUGGUGUUUUAUCAAGCAAGAGAAACCUAACUAGAUCAUGUCUCUGCUUCAUUUGUCCAAACCUGCAUCAAGCCAAGGUCUUGGAGGGAACAAAUGACGGUUCUGAGGAGUUUCCUGGAAGGCUUAAUCAUAGGAGGCAAGGGUUGGGAAAAGCCACAAGUGGCAGUGAGGCCUCCGAGGCUCACAACAGUGCGGAGCCUAUAACACUCCAGGCCUGAAGGGGCAGAGGGAGGGGGAGCUUUGUAGAGUAAGAGAUCACCUAGAAAGAAGGUUGUAGGUGGAGCCAGGGCCUUUGGGGAGAAGCUGGGUGAGCCACAGGGCUUAAGGAGCAUAAACACCCCCCCAGUCCCCAUUGUCGUCCUUCUUAGAGCACCACCAUGUAUCCGGGAGCACUCUGGCGCCUCUCAAGACUCUGGCGAGCAGCUGUGGAGUGUGCACGUGGCUGAGAGAACAUGAGGAGUGGACCUCUACCUCCACCCUAACCCUGCCAGGCCUCCAGAAGGCAUGGCACCCGCUGUGGAAAAAAACUGCCUGAGCACAUUGCCCAAUGCCUUCCGGUUCCCACUGAGAUCAGGAUGUAGCUCACAGCCCCUUCUCCAGCAUCAUGUCUGCCUGGUACAGCCAGCUGCCACGCUCCCCGACGUGAUAAUCAUGGACUGUCAACAAGCCCUCAAUUAAAUACUUUCUCUUGUAAGA
This 840-nucleotide long non-coding RNA is filed under the name Mus caroli (Ryukyu mouse). RNAcentral describes it as "lncRNA (MGP_CAROLIEiJ_G0003577.1)". The record is from RNAcentral. Lineage: Eukaryota; Metazoa; Chordata; Mammalia; Rodentia; Muridae.